This is a long non-coding RNA of Gigantopelta aegis, 353 nucleotides long. RefSeq lists it as uncharacterized. Lineage: Eukaryota; Metazoa; Mollusca; Gastropoda; Neomphalida; Peltospiridae. The record is from RefSeq and is a predicted model, not a curated record. The transcript has 2 exons.
ACCAACAUGGCAAAUGUUUCUCCAGCACCGCUGAAAGGGCAAAUGUCUAGGUCCCGGUCUGGGCCUGUUGCUUCCCAGACCGGGUCCUUCCACUCGAAGUAUCCACUACCAACAUGGCAAAUGUUUCUCCAGCACCGCUGAAAGGGCAAAUGUCUAGGUCCCGGUCUGGGCCUGUUGCUUCCCAGACCGGGUCCUUCCACUCGAAGUAUCCACUACCAACAUGGCAAAUGUUUCUCCAGCACCGCUGAAAGGGCAAAUGUCUAGGUCCCGGUCUGGGCCUGUUGCUUCCCAGACCGGGUCCUUCCAGUCGAAGUAUCCACUACCAACAUGGCAAAUGUUUCUCCAGCACCGCU